UCACAUACCAUCCGUGUGCAAGAAAUAAAAUUGAAAUUUUGGAAAGAAAAAAUAAAACAUGGAUAGAUAAUUUGCGGACAACUUCUGACCUUACUUCUUUCAUGUUCCAAAUAUCAUUUAUUUCAUGUACAAAUUUUUAACAUGAAGCUGGCUUAAAAAAUCAAGGACCACAUGACAUCAAUAUAUCUUAAAUUGGAAAUAAAAAUUUGUGAUACUAAUUCUUGCAAGAAAUAGAUAUUGCCAUGUACAUCAUUUUUGAUACUGUCCAUUUUAUUAUAUUAUCAGUAUACUGUUUUAGGCCCAAAAUAAUCAAUCUAUCAUUAUCAUAAGUUGAGUUUUUAUUUAAUCUCAUUAUAUCUCAUUCAUGUGGCCCUUCUAGUGACGCCAAAGAUAAGAUGAUUUUUAAUUUUUGCAGGUACAUGGCUACCCCAAAUAUCACAUGAGUGAAGACUGAAGAGAACACAAAUCAAUGAGAUUGUCCAAAAUUAGUAAAUUAGCAUAAUGUAAUGUAACAUUUUUUUUUUGAAACGGUCGAUGUUAGUAUUGUUAAUUUGUAACUCAAUUGUCAUCAAUCAUCUCAAAGAGUUACCAUCCUCUAAGGAUUGUGAGGGUGUGACAUGGAUGAUAUUCUAAAGGGGUUAUGUGGGUGGAGUUGGAAGGAGAACAAAUUGUUUGAGCUAGCUUUAGCUUUAGUAGAUGAGAGUCAUCCAGAAAGGUGGGAGAUGGUUGCAGCUAUGGUUGGAGGUGAAAAAAGUGCAGGGGAGGUUCAAAAGCAUUAUGUGAUACUUUUGGAGGAUUUGGAGCUUAUAGAAUCUGGAAAAUUUGAUCAUAAAUUGGGAGAAGAUAAUACAUGUGUUAUUGUUGACCUUACUGAGUCCUUAUGCUUGUCUGAUAAAUAAUACUAUUGGUAACACCAUGAUGAUAAAUUGGCUUAAGCAUACAUACAGUACAAGAAGUUGCAUAAUAAACCUGAUUCAAUGUCCACUCUACCCUAUUAUAAAAAUGUACGAGACGAUAUAAUGAAAUGACAAUUGACAACUGUAAAUGUAAUUGCAAAUAGUUCUAAAUUAUUGUCUGCAAAUGUAAUUGCAACUGUAAUAUAACUGUUUUAGGGCCUAUUUGAA
Molecule: long non-coding RNA, 1124 nt
Organism: Medicago truncatula (barrel medic)
Lineage: Eukaryota; Viridiplantae; Streptophyta; Magnoliopsida; Fabales; Fabaceae
Exons: 2
Source: RefSeq, a predicted model, not a curated record